AGAGUUUGAUCCUGGCUCAGGAUGAACGCUGGCGGUAUGCCUAAUACAUGCAAGUCGAACGCAUUGUCCCAUUGAAGCAUGACGUGCUUGCACUGAGUGUGGAUUUGGAUUUGCAAUGAGUGGCGAACGGGUGAGUAACACGUAGGUAACCUACCUCUAAGUUUGGAAUAACUAUUAGAAAUGAUAGCUAAUACCGGAUAACAUAUUUUGUCGCAUGACAGAAUAUUGAAAGGCGCUUUUAAGCGUUGCUUGGAGAUGGACCUGCGGUGCAUUAGCUAGUAGGUAAGGUAACGGCUUACCUAGGCAAUGAUGCAUAGCCGAGCUGAGAGGCUGAACGGCCACAAUGGAACUGAGACACGGUCCGUACUCCUACGGGAGGCAGCAGUAGGGAAUUUUUCGCAAUGGACGAAAGUCUGACGGAGCAAUACCGCGUGUGGGAUGAAUGUUUUCGGACUGUAAACCACUGUUGUAGGGGAAGAAAAAAUAAAUUAGGAAAUGAAUUUAUAUUGACGGUACCCUGCCAGAAAGCGACGGCUAACUACGUGCCAGCAGCCGCGGUAACACGUAGGUCGCGAGCGUUAUCCGGAAUUAUUGGGCGUAAAGAGUUCGUAGGUGGCCAAGCAAGUCUUGUGUGAAAGCCAACAGCUUAACUGUUGAACUGCAUAAGAUACUACUUGGCUAGAAUUUAGGAGAGGAAACUGGAAUUUCCAUGUGUAGCGGUGGAAUGCGUAGAUAUAUGGAGGAACACCAAUAGCGAAGGCAGGUUUCUGGACUAACAUUGACACUAAGGAACGAAAGCGUGGGUAGCAAACAGGAUUAGAUACCCUGGUAGUCCACGCCGUAAACGAUGGGUAUUAGAUAUCGGGAGAGAAUCUCGGUGCCGCAGCUAACGCAUUAAAUACCCCGCCUGGGGAGUACGACCACAAGGUUGAAACUCAAAGGAAUUGACGGGGACCCGCACAAGUGGUGGAGCAUGUAGUUUAAUUCGAGGAUACGCGAAGAACCUUACCAAAACUUGACAUCCUCAGCAAAGCUAUGGAAACAUAGUGGAGGUUAUCUGAGUGACAGGUGGUGCACGGUUGUCGUCAGCUCGUGUCGUGAGAUGUUGGGCUAAGUCCCGCAACGAGCGCAACCCUUAUCUUUAGUUGCUAACAUUUAGUUGAGGACUCUAGAGAGACUGCCGUUGAUAAAACGGAGGAAGGUGGGGAUGACGUCAAAUCAUCAUGCCCCUUAUGUUUUGGGCUACAUACGUGCAACAAUGGCUAAUACAACGAGCUGCUAAACCGUAAGGUCAUGCGAAUCUCUUAAAAUUAGUCUAAGUUCGGAUUGAGGUCUGCAACUCGACCUCAUGAAGUCGGAAUCACUAGUAAUCCCGGGUCAGCAUACCGGGGUGAAUACGUUCUCGGGUCUUGUACACACCGCCCGUCACACCACGAAAGUUUAUAACAUCCAAAGUCGUUGCUUUAACCUUCGGGAGAGGCGCGCCUAAGGUGGGAUAAAUGAUUGGGGUGAAGUCGUAACAAGGUAGCCGU
RNAcentral lists this ribosomal RNA (1532 nucleotides) under uncultured Bacillota bacterium. RNAcentral describes it as "bacterial SSU rRNA". It matches the Rfam family "Bacterial small subunit ribosomal RNA". The record is from RNAcentral. Lineage: Bacteria; Bacillati; Bacillota.